AAAAAUUUCAACUACUUACUUAAAACUCAGAGAGAAUUACAACACAGAAUAUAUAAUGCUGAUAAAUAAAUUUGUGUGUUCAUAGUAUACAUAGAAGCACUUGUUUGUCCAAUUUAAACAUGUAUAUAUAACAUAACAUAAUUCGCCAUCUACCAUUUAACAUUUCAUACAAAAAAAUAGCAUCUAGGUUAUUAAUGAGUUAAACUCAAACCCUACUCAUUCAACUGCUAUAAGUGAGUUAACAAAUUCUAGAGGCGGGUCAUUAUAAAACAAAAAUUCCAGUAAGAAAUUACUACAACUUAUAAUUAGGGGAAACAAGUCACUUUCCAUUGCCAAGAUGUGAUAAAUUUAGUUUUUGAUUGGAAUUAAACGAUUCUUUUGACUAAGCAUACCAAAUAGGGAAUCCCAUUGAUGUAUUCGAAUC
Molecule: long non-coding RNA, 424 nt
Filed under: Olea europaea (common olive)
Lineage: Eukaryota; Viridiplantae; Streptophyta; Magnoliopsida; Lamiales; Oleaceae
Description: long non-coding RNA (OEUR_LNC003800)
Source: RNAcentral